UACGAAGGGGGCUAGCGUUGCUCGGAAUGACUGGGCGUAAAGGGCGCGUAGGCGGAUUGUUUAGUCAGRSGUGAAAUUCCGGGGCUCAACCUGGGGGCUGCSUUUGAUACKGGUGAUCUWGAGURUGGAAGAGGGUCGUGGAAUUCCCAGUGUAGAGGUGAAAUUCGUAGAUAUUGGGAAGAACACCGGUGGCGAAGGCGGCGCCCUGGUCCUUUACUGACGCUGAGGCKCGAAAGCGUGGGGAGCAAACAGGAUUA
Molecule: ribosomal RNA, 257 nt
Filed under: uncultured bacterium
Lineage: Bacteria
Description: partial 16S ribosomal RNA
Rfam family: Bacterial small subunit ribosomal RNA
Source: RNAcentral